Molecule: ribosomal RNA, 254 nt
Filed under: uncultured bacterium
Lineage: Bacteria
Description: partial 16S ribosomal RNA
Rfam family: Bacterial small subunit ribosomal RNA
Source: RNAcentral
UACGUAGGUGACAAGCGUUGUCCGGAUUUACUGGGCGUAAAGAGCGCGCAGGCGGUCGAUCAAGUCGAGUGUGAAAGCCCCCGGCUCAACUGGGGAGGGUCAUCGGUAACGGUCGUGCUAUGAGUGCAGGAGAGGGAAGUGGAACUCCGGGAGUAGCGGUGAAAUGCGUAGAGACCCGGAGGAACACCAGUGGCGAAGGCGGCUUCCUGGUCUGCGACUGACGCUGUGGCGCGAAAGCUAGGGGAGCAAACGGG